GAUGAACGCUGGCGGCGUGCCUAAUACAUGCAAGUCGAGCGAACGGACGAGAAGCUUGCUUUUCUGAUGUUAGCGGCGGACGGGUGAGUAACACGUGGAUAACCUACCUAUAAGACUGGGAUAACUUCGGGAAACCGGAGCUAAUACCGGAUAAUAUUUUGAACCGCAUGGUUCAAAAGUGAAAGACGGUCUUGCUGUCACUUAUAGAUGGAUCCGCGCUGCAUUAGCUAGUUGGUAAGAUAACGGCUUACCAAGGCAACGAUGCAUAGCCGACCUGAGAGGGUGAUCGGCCACACUGGAACUGAGACACGGUCCAGACUCCUACGGGAGGCAGCAGUAGGGAAUCUUCCGCAAUGGGCGAAAGCCUGACGGAGCAACGCCGCGUGAGUGAUGAAGGUCUUCGGAUCGUAAAACUCUGUUAUUAGGGAAGAACAUAUGUGUAAGUAACUGUGCACAUCUUGACGGUACCUAAUCAGAAAGCCACGGCUAACUACGUG
Molecule: ribosomal RNA, 497 nt
Filed under: uncultured bacterium
Lineage: Bacteria
Description: partial 16S ribosomal RNA
Rfam family: Bacterial small subunit ribosomal RNA
Source: RNAcentral